Molecule: long non-coding RNA, 672 nt
Filed under: Marmota monax (woodchuck)
Lineage: Eukaryota; Metazoa; Chordata; Mammalia; Rodentia; Sciuridae
Source: RNAcentral
AAAGGGCACAUGUGGGGUCUGCCAGACUCAGGUGCUCGAGGCCCGUCCCUUUGCUCUUGCUCUCUCUCUCUCUAAACCCAGGGGGGCUUACAGGGAGGGAGAGCAUGGUGGGACAGGUGCUGACAUGGUGGCCCUGGCUACAGGACAUCCGGAACACAGUGGGCAAUGUGCCCCUUGAGUGGUACGAGGACUUCCCGCAUGUGGGCUAUGACCUGGAUGGCAGGCGCAUCUACAAGCCCCUGCGGACCCGGGAUGAGCUGGACCAGUUUCUGGAUAAGAUGGACGAUCCUGACUUCUGGUCAGUGGGCCUCUGGGUGGGGCCUGGGGAGUGUCUGGAAGCAAGGGCUUUGGCUCUAAACUGGCCGUCCCCCAGGCGCACGGUGAAGGACAGGAUGACAGGGCAUGACCUGCGGCUGACGGAUGAGCAGGUGGCCCUGGUGCAGCGGCUACAGCGAGGCCAGUUUGGGGAUGUGAGCUUCAACCCUUAUGAGGUAGGUUGGGACAGCUGGCCCUGGGGAUCUGGAGCUGGGCUGGGCCCCUGCCUGGACACCACACCUGUCUCCCUAGCCGGCUGUGGACUUCUUCAGCGGGGACAUCAUGAUCCACCCAGUGACCAACCGCCCUGCCGACAAACGCAGCUUCAUCCCGUCCCUGGUGGAGAGAGAGAAGGUG